Molecule: small nucleolar RNA, 103 nt
Organism: Humulus lupulus (European hop)
Lineage: Eukaryota; Viridiplantae; Streptophyta; Magnoliopsida; Rosales; Cannabaceae
Source: RefSeq, a predicted model, not a curated record
AUGUCGUGAUGAGGGAAUUUUUGUAACAACUCCUUAAACUACUCUCAUGCCUCAUACAAAGAUUCUUCAUCAAGUUGCUGAAAGUAAUCUCAUUGCAGAGCUU